This 307-nucleotide ribosomal RNA is filed under the name Amoebophrya sp. RNAcentral describes it as "SSU rRNA". It matches the Rfam family "Eukaryotic small subunit ribosomal RNA", at positions 595 to 906 of the family's 1831-position model. Lineage: Eukaryota; Dinophyceae; Syndiniales; Amoebophryaceae. The record is from RNAcentral.
UAGCGUAUAUUUAAGUUGUUGCGGUAAAAAAGCUCGUAGUUGGAUUUCUGUUGAAGACCGGCGGUCCACCUUUUGGGUGAGUAUCUGCUUGGGCUUCGGCAUCUUCUCGAAAAACGUUGCGGCGCUUGAUUGCGUGGUGCGGAGUUCGGGACUUUUACUUUGAGGAAAUUAGAGUGUUCACGGCAGGCAUACGCCUUGAAUAUAUUAGCAUGGAAUAAUAAUAUAGGAUCUUGGUUCUAUUUUGUUGGUUUCUAGAGCUAAGAUAAUGAUUAAUAGGGACAAUUGGGGGCAUUCGUAUUAUACCGUC